GAUGAACGCUGGCGGCGUGCCUAAUACAUGCAAGUCGAGCGAACAGACGCGGAGCUUGCUCCUCAGACGAUAGCCGCGGACGGGUGAGUCACACGUGGAUACCCUCCCUAUCAGACUGGGAUAACUUCGGGAAACCGUAGCUAAUCCCGGAUAAUAUAUUGAUCCGCAUGGUUCUAUAGUGAAAGACGGUUUUGCUGUCACUUAUCGAUCGAUCAGCGCCGUAUUGGCUUGUUGGUAAGGUAACGGCUUGCCAAGGGACCGAUGGGUCAGCGACGGGAGAGGCGGAUCGGCCACCUUGGAGCGGAGACGCGCUCCAGAGGCCUACGGUAGGCAGCAGUAGGGAAUCGGCCGCAAUGGGCGAAAGCUUUACGGAGCAGCGCCGCGUGAGAUAUGAAGGCCCUGGGAUCGGAAAACUCGGUUAUUAGGUAUAAACAAAUUUGGAAGUAGCUAUGCACGUCGUGACGGUACCUAGUCAGGAAGCCACGGCUAACUACGUG
RNAcentral lists this ribosomal RNA (497 nucleotides) under uncultured bacterium. Its description in RNAcentral is "partial 16S ribosomal RNA". It matches the Rfam family "Bacterial small subunit ribosomal RNA", at positions 28 to 507 of the family's 1533-position model. The record is from RNAcentral.